AAUGAACGCUCGCUGUGCCCUAAUACACGCGUGGGGAGGGGGAUGUAGCAAUACUUUCAGUAGCGAAUGGGAGAGAAACGGGCCCUAACCUCCCUUUAAGACUGGAGAUAACUUUGGGAAACAAAUAGCUUAUCCGGGAUAUAGUUUUUUAUCGCAUGAUGAGUAAUAGAAAGGAGCUUCACAGCUUCUCUUAAAAAUGGGGGUGCGGAACAUUAGUUAGUUGGUAGGGUAAUGGCCUCCCAAGACGAUGAUUUUUUAGCCGGCCCGAGAGGCUGUACGCCCACACUGGGUCUGAGAUACGGCCCAGACCUCUGCGGGAGGCAGCAGUAAGAUUUUUCCCACAAUGAGAGAAAGCUUGAUGGAGCGACACAGCGCGCAGGAUGAAUCUCUUCGGAAUGUAAACUGCUGUUAUGAGGGGAGAAAAAAUAGAAUAGGAAAUGAUUUUCUCUUGACUGUAUCUUAUUAGAAAGCGACGGCAAACUAUGUCACAGCAGCUGCGGUAAUACAUAGGUCGCAAGCGUUAUCCGGAAUUAUUGGGCGUAAAGCGUCCGUAGGUUUUUUGCUAAGUCUGGAGUUAAAUUCUGAAGCUCAACUUCAGUCCGCUUUGGAUACUGGCAAAAUAGAAUUAUAAAGAGGUUAGCGGAAUUCCUAGUGAAGCGGUGGAAUGCGUAGAUAUUAGGAAGAACACCAAUAGGCGAAGGCAGCUAACUGGUUAUAUAUUGACUCUAAGGGACGAAAGCGUGGGGAGCAAACAGG
Molecule: ribosomal RNA, 756 nt
Filed under: Mesomycoplasma hyorhinis
Lineage: Bacteria; Bacillati; Mycoplasmatota; Mycoplasmoidales; Metamycoplasmataceae
Description: bacterial SSU rRNA
Rfam family: Bacterial small subunit ribosomal RNA
Source: RNAcentral